CCUACGGGGGGCAGCAGUGGGGAAUAUUGGACAAUGGGGGAAACCCUGAUCCAGCGACGCCGCGUGAGUGAAGAAGUAUUUCGGUACGUAAAGCUCUAUCAGCAGGAAAGAAAAUGACGGUACCUGACUAAGAAGCCCCGGCUAACUACGUGCCAGCAGCCGCGGUAAUACGUAGGGGGCAAGCGUUAUCCGGAUUUACUGGGUGUAAAGGGAGCGUAGACGGCAGCGCAAGUCUGGAGUGAAAUGCCGGGGCUCAACCCCGGAACUGCUCUGGAAACUGUGAAGCUGGAGUGCAGGAGAGGUAAGCGGAAUUCCUGGUGUAGCGGUGAAAUGCGUAGAUAUCAGGAGGAACACCGGCGGCGAAGGCGGCUUACUGGACUGUAACUGACGUUGAGGCUCGAAGGCGUGGGGAGCAAACAGGAUUAGAUACCCGGGUAGUC
RNAcentral lists this ribosomal RNA (440 nucleotides) under uncultured bacterium. Its description in RNAcentral is "partial 16S ribosomal RNA". It matches the Rfam family "Bacterial small subunit ribosomal RNA", at positions 338 to 795 of the family's 1533-position model. The record is from RNAcentral.